GGGGCAGUCUGUAUUCGGAGAUCUGGUUAUAGGUUGGAUCAGGGGCAGUCUGUGUUCUGUGAUAUGGUUAUAGGUUGGAUCGGGGCAGUCUGUAUUCAGAGAUCUGGUUAUUGGUUGGAUCGGGGCAGUCUGUGUUCGGUGAUAUGGUUAUUGGUUGGAUCAGGGGCAGUCUGUAUUCGGAGAUCUGGUUAUUGGUUGGAUCAGGGGCAGUCUGUAUUCGGAGAUCUGGUUAUUGGUUGGAUCAGGGGCAGUCUGUAUUCUGAGAUCUGGUUAUAGGUUGGAUCAGGGGCAGUCUGUAUUCGGAGAUCUGGUUAUUGGUUGGAUCAGGGGCAGUCUGUAUUCGGAGAUCUGGUUAUUGGUUGGAUCAGGGGCAGUCU
Molecule: non-coding RNA, 377 nt
Organism: Pelobates cultripes (western spadefoot toad)
Lineage: Eukaryota; Metazoa; Chordata; Amphibia; Anura; Pelobatidae
Source: the annotation of a GenBank genome assembly